UACGUAGGGUGCAAGCGUUGCCCGGAUUUAUUGGGCGUAAAGAGCUCGUAGGCGGUCUGUCGCGUCGGCUGUGAAAUCCCGAGGCUCAACCUCGGGUCUGCAGUCGAUACGGGCAAACUAGAGUAUUGCAGGGGAGACUGGAAUUCCUGGUGUAGCGGUGAAAUGCGCAGAUAUCAGGAGGAACACCGGUGGCGAAGGCGGGUCUCUGGGCAAUAACUGACGCUGAGGAGCGAAAGCGUGGGGAGCAAACGGG
This 253-nucleotide ribosomal RNA is filed under the name uncultured bacterium. Its description in RNAcentral is "partial 16S ribosomal RNA". It matches the Rfam family "Bacterial small subunit ribosomal RNA", at positions 524 to 776 of the family's 1533-position model. The record is from RNAcentral.